This 301-nucleotide ribosomal RNA is filed under the name uncultured bacterium. RNAcentral describes it as "partial 16S ribosomal RNA". It matches the Rfam family "Bacterial small subunit ribosomal RNA", at positions 509 to 809 of the family's 1533-position model. The record is from RNAcentral.
CAGCCGCCGCGGUAAUACGAAGGGGGCUAGCGUUGCUCGGAAUGACUGGGCGUAAAGGGCGCGUAGGCGGCGGCCAAAGUCAGGCGUGAAAUUCCCGGGCUCAACCUGGGGGCUGCGUUUGAUACUUGGUUGCUUGAGUGGGGAAGAGGGUCGUGGAAUUCCCAGUGUAGAGGUGAAAUUCGUAGAUAUUGGGAAGAACACCGGUGGCGAAGGCGGCGACCUGGUCCUUUACUGACGCUGAGGCGCGAAAGCGUGGGGAGCAAACAGGAUUAGAUACCCGAGUAGUCCCUGUCUCUUAUAA